This 384-nucleotide ribosomal RNA is filed under the name uncultured bacterium. Its description in RNAcentral is "bacterial SSU rRNA". It matches the Rfam family "Bacterial small subunit ribosomal RNA", at positions 31 to 415 of the family's 1533-position model. The record is from RNAcentral.
GAACGCUGGCGGCGUGCUUAACACAUGCAAGUCGAACGAUGAAGCCCAGCUUGCUGGGUGGAUUAGUGGCGAACGGGUGAGUAACACGUGAGUAACCUGCCCUUGACUCUGGGAUAAGCACUGGAAACGGUGUCUAAUACCGGAUACGAGCUUCAGCCGCAUGGCUAGGAGUUGGAAAGAAUUUCGGUCAAGGAUGGACUCGCGGCCUAUCAGGUAGUUGGUGAGGUAAUGGCCCACCAAGCCUACGACGGGUAGCCGGCCUGAGAGGGUGACCGGCCACACUGGGACUGAGACACGGCCCAGACUCCUACGGGAGGCAGCAGUGGGGAAUAUUGCACAAUGGGCGCAAGCCUGAUGCAGCAACGCCGCGUGAGGGACGACGGC